GUUUUGAUAGCUUAUUUAGAGUAUUAUUCUGAAGAUAUAAUGGAAAGAACUUACCUUUCAAAACA
This 65-nucleotide transfer RNA is filed under the name Kusala populi. RNAcentral's name for it is "tRNA-Phe". The record is from RNAcentral. Lineage: Eukaryota; Metazoa; Arthropoda; Insecta; Hemiptera; Cicadellidae.